GGGGGGGGGGGGGGGGGGGGGGGGGGGGGGGAGGGCGGGGGGGGGGGGCGGGCUGGUGGGGGGGGCGCGGGUGGCGAACGGGUGAGUAACACGUGAGUAACCUGCCCGUGACUUUGGGAUAACUUCAGGAAACUGGGGCUAAUACCGGAUAGGAGCUCCUGCUGCGGGGUGGGGGUUGGAAAGUUGCGGCGGUUGGGGAUGGACUCGCGGCUUAUCAGCUUGUUGGUGGGGGAGUGGCUUACCAAGGCUUUGCCGGGUAGCCGGCCUGAGAGGGUGACCGGACACAUUGGGACUGAGAUACGGCCCAGACUCCUACGGGAGGCAGCAGUGGGGAAUAUUGCACAAUGGGCGGAAGCCUGAUGCAGCAACGCCGCGUGCGGGAUGACGGCCUUCGGGUUGUAAACCGCUUUCGCCUGUGACGAAGCGUGAGUGACGGUAAUGGGUAAAGAAGCACCGGCUAACUACGUG
This 468-nucleotide ribosomal RNA is filed under the name uncultured bacterium. RNAcentral's name for it is "partial 16S ribosomal RNA". The stretch from base 52 to 468 matches the Rfam family "Bacterial small subunit ribosomal RNA", at positions 35 to 507 of the family's 1533-position model. The record is from RNAcentral.